This 520-nucleotide ribosomal RNA is filed under the name uncultured bacterium. Its description in RNAcentral is "bacterial SSU rRNA". It matches the Rfam family "Bacterial small subunit ribosomal RNA", at positions 353 to 870 of the family's 1533-position model. The record is from RNAcentral.
AGUGAGGAAUAUUGGUCAAUGGACGCAAGUCUGAACCAGCCAUGUCGCGUGCAGGAUGACUGCCCUAUGGGUUGUAAACUGCUUUUGUACGGGAAGAAAUAUACUUACGUGUAAGUAUUUGCCGGUACCGUACGAAUAAGCAUCGGCUAACUCCGUGCCAGCAGCCGCGGUAAUACGGAGGGUGCAAGCGUUAUUCGGAAUCAUUGGGCGUAAAGGGCGCGUAGGCGGUAUGUCAAGUCAGAUGUGAAAUCCCGGGGCUUAACUUCGGAGGGUCAUUUGAAACUGACAUACUUGAGUUCGGUAGAGGAAAGCGGAAUUCCUGGUGUAGCGGUGAAAUGCGUAGAUAUCAGGAGGAACAUCAGUGGCGAAGGCGGCUUUCUGGCCCGAUACUGACGCUGAUGCGCGAAGGCAUGGGUAGCAAACGGGAUUAGAUACCCCGGUAGUCCAUGCAGUAAACGUUGAUUACCAGGUGUUGGUUGCAGAAAGCAAUCAGUGCCGCAGUAAACGCAAUAAGUAAUCC